RNAcentral lists this ribosomal RNA (231 nucleotides) under uncultured bacterium. Its description in RNAcentral is "partial 16S ribosomal RNA". It matches the Rfam family "Bacterial small subunit ribosomal RNA", at positions 99 to 334 of the family's 1533-position model. The record is from RNAcentral.
CGGACGGGUGAGUAAUGUCUGGGAAACUGCCCGAUGGAGGGGGAUAACUACUGGAAACGGUAGCUAUACCGCAUAAUGUCUGCGGACCAAAGCGGGGGACCUCCGGGCCUCGCGCCAUCAGAUGUGCCCAGAUGGGAUUAGCUAGUAGGUGGGGUAACGGCUCACCUAGGCGACGAUCCCUAGCUGGUCUGAGAGGAUGACCAGCCACACUGGAACUGAGACACGGUCCAG